AGGAGCCGAGGCUCCCGCUGGCUGACUAUCCCAGGAAACGAGAUGUGUGCCAUCGUGCUCCGUGCGUGCCUGUUCAUCUGACAGCUGCUGAGCCCCUUGGAUGGUCUCAGCCGUGUGUGACAGCAGAGCUGUCACUGACGCUGACGGGACAUGUUCCUGCACGGAGAUGUUCCUGCGCGUCCUGUGAAACGUGCAGCCAGGCAGGAGCAGGUGACGGUGAGCAUCACCGCGGAGGGACAAGCCGGCAUGCACACACCCCUGGGACAUGCAGGAAUGAGUCCUUACGUGCGUGUGGCCCGCUCAUGGGCGAAAGCUUUGGCAGACAGUGACAACUUAGAUGUCAAACUUGGGUGAACCAGGAGACAUAAAUCCUGGUAUUUGGGAUUAGUGCAGGUAAUUUGUUUUAAAGACGGUCAAAUCCCUUUCCUGUAGGUGCUUGCUUGUCACAGGAGAUGUUCCUCAUCUCCAGGAGAGCUACUCCAGUUGAACAGAUCCAGCCCUCUCUGGGGAGACGGUCUCUGGAGUCGCUAAUCACUAGGCUUUGGGUUUGUUUUUUUUCCCUAACACUUUUGUGGGUGAUAGUUUCCUCCUCCUCCCUUUUGUCUUUCUGCAACAUCACAGGGUUGGGAAGGACCAUCUGCUGAUUUGAUUAAUGGCCCUUUUCUGAAAAAGCAACAGAGACAAAUGUCCUCCUGAACAUGGCAAAGAGAAAUGGAGAAACAGGCUGGCUAAUUUUCAGCUAUUAUUUUGGAGCCCAAACUCCUUCCCAGUAUCAAUUUAGCUAUUAUUUCAAAAACUAAUUAAUCUUCACUCAGGCAGCUCCAAGGGACCUGUGUUUAGAUAAUUAACAGCCCAUGGAUUAUGAAAAGUCUUGCUUUUGGAUCCUACCACAGUGCUUGCCUUCAAGAACACUCUUGCUAUCGUCCUGCUUACCAACUCCUUUCAUCAAUCCAUCUUUUUUUGACAAUUUAAGAGCAAAUAAUUAGCCAUGAUGGAUUUUUUUUGCUUGCUUUCUUGCAGGUCAGUUCCAUUUUUGUGGUCCUUAAAUGUUCUUCAGCCGGGCAAUUUUUUGUGGUGGUUUUGCAGCUAAUUACGGCCAAGCAGGGCAAAUCACUGCUGUUACCAGGAGGAUCUGGAGAUUUGGCUUAUGGAGAAGCUGGGCAAUAAGGUAGGAGAAAGGAGAUCCUAGAAGGAUAGGUGAUGGGACUUUUUCUUUUUUCUUUUCCCCUCUCCAGUCUUGCACGACGCAACGUGACCUUACCCCCCGUAUUGCUGUGCCGGGGCUGGGCUGACCUCCCUCCCCAGGAUGUCUCAUCCCGGCCGCUCGCUCGCUGCCACGGCUUUGAUCCUCUUGCCGCGCUGGAUGGCGAGACGUCCCCGAGCUGUCGGGGCUGUGGGAGAGCUCUGCGCAGCAAAGCGGAGGCGAUGGGGUGGCAUAGACCCGGAGGCAGCGGUGGAGCAGGUCUGCAUCCCGUGCAGCUCCCAUCCGUGCCCCACAUCCUCGCUGGGCGCGGGGAAGCGAAUGUGGGCUGGCGGCGCUUAGCGGAGCGAUGCCGUGCUUAAUGAAUUCCAACGGCAGCCACAGAUGACAGCACUCUGCUCGCCGCAUCUACUGAGCGCUGCAGUUCUUCAUUAAGCAACCGGGAGUUUGCUUGCUCUUCUGCUGAGGGCGAAGGAGCCGGAGCGGCGAGGAGCUCGGCCUUUCAACUCUUUUUGUCAAUGAUAUGAUUUGGAGGUUUUCUCUUCUUCAUCUUAACUUGGGACCAAACUCCACUUGGUCUGAGGUUGGCUCUACCUGGCUGAGGGCUUAGGAGAGCACCAAGGACGUAGUGUGGCUUGGGCUGGGGACCCUGCCACAGGGAGGGGGAAACCUGGAAGCCAAGCUGCUCUGUCUCCUAAGGUUGUUCUGGUUAGAUCUGGCCGAGUCUGCGGCACACCCAUUGCUCUGGGUAAGCAGCGCUGCAGAGGCAGCUCCUGAGCACCCUGAAGGAAACGAUGAAACGUUCCCUCUGCUUGAACGACCGAGAGGGAAAAGGUGCGCAGGAAGGAGAUGCCGGUAAUUCCCUGCGAUGUUAAAUGGGAAGCGGGGAGCCGACUAACUGGUGCCAGUGCGGGCAGUACGAGGGUGGAAUGGACUCGGGGGCAGAGGACAGAGACAGGAGAUCAAUCCUUGCAAUCCUUCCCAUCCUUGCAAGUUGAGCAAACGCUUUGGGGGCACUGGAGGACACACUCCAACUCAGGAAGCUUUUCCAUCAGAUGUACCUGGGGUUUUAGCUCCUUCAGCAUUAGUGAUUUCUUAAAUAUAGAUUUGACUUGCAAGUUUGCGAAUGUAUAAAGCAGCUGACGUUUCCCUCUCCUACCAGGACUUUGAGCUGUGUUUCCUGGGAUCCCGAGCUAUUGAUGGACCAUUCUUCAUACCCAGCUCACCUUGUGAAACCUCAUGCCGUGCCCAUGCCAGCACGGGGAGAUUUCCAACCAAACCUCCCCAUCUUCAGCAUUUGGAGGUGUCUGGGAAAACAGGGGUUGGAAGUAAAGGAACGGCACCUCCGGGCUGGUGGAGCUGCGAGGCUUUCACCCAUGGCUUGGGGAGCACCCUGCAUCCUGCAGCAACGGCCCCUGGAGCGGGACAUCGGCACCAGAUGGGAGGCCAGAGCAAGAAGGGCAGCCGUUCUGGGCUGCGCUGGAGGUCCAUGGGCUCAGCGCCCAGCCAUGAUGUGUACGAACAGCAUAAGGGCAUCACAGGGAACCUCCAGAGCCUCCUCUCUGCUUGCCACCAUUUGCAUUUGAGGAUAUCCCAGUUCUUACACCGUGUCCCUAUAUUUAGAGCCUCCUCCAGGAUCCUGGGAUCCUGCCGGCCUGUCAGCUCUGUGCCACCUGUAACCUGUCCUCUACGGGGUCAGCCACGUGUUGCCUUGGUGGGCACUUGGGUUGGCCAACAGCGACCAGAGCUCUGCUGCUCCCAUCUAAGCACACGCGUGUUAACACAUGUAAAGUGAACGGACCCUCUGUCUGAGGUGGGUUUUGUUUGAAAUGUUCCUCUGGUGAGGAUUAACUCCUGACACGGCUGUUUGUUAUGGGAAGAGCCUGCGUUUUCCAGGGAGAUGUUGCGUUUAACUGGGAACAUGAAGCUUUCUCCAGCCUUGGAUCCCCCACAUCACUGAUUGACCAUGUCGAGGUUCUUAUGCCUUGAUAAGACUUAUCCUGGAUUAUUAUUUAGCUACUAAUUAAGCUUGAGAGUGAUGUAAAGGCCUUAAACUGCUGUUUGAAGAUUGAGUGGAUGAUUUCUGCUCUUGUCAAAGAAGGAAGGAUUUGGAGACUCAUCGCAGCGCUGAGCGACAGCUCAGACAUCGCAUUAAUCGCCGCUGACGAUGGCUGCGCGGUGUCUGGCGGAGCUGUGACGCCAAGGUCCUGACUGCUGGCGCUUCCCCAGCCGGGGAUAUUUUGCAGACGAGCGGUGCUGCUCCCCAAAAACUCCAGCCAAAAACGGGGAAGAAACUGCGUUCCCCUUGGGGUCGAACCCCAUGGAAAAUGCUUUUUCUCCAUGCCAGCCUCUUGCUCCUGCCCGCAGGGCACGCGGGGAUUAUGGUUAGCCCUUGUGAACCUGCAUCUUUUUAAAAUACACUCUUUCCUUCUCCGUGCUCGCCAGGAUCAAGGGCGGCUCCGUGGAGGGCUGGUGGGUUUGGCUGCUGCUGCUGCUGCAUUGAUUUGGCAAAGGCUGGGGAUGAAAGCCCCGUGGCCUCCAGCUGAGACUAGAGGUUUUUAGGCUUGAGCUUUCCCAAAUUCUGUCCGUCACGAAGCGAACAAACACCACCGGCCAGGAGCAGCUUGAAGCUGGAGACAGCUGGCACAGGGGUUGAGCAUCGAUCGCUGGCUGCUGGGCGAGACCUGACCAAAACCCCGCUGGGGUCAGGAGGCAACUCCAUCCCUCCCGGCUUCCGAACAUCGGGCUGGGAAGAAAAGCCAGCCUGCUUCGAAAGCAAUCGUUUGACAUGGUGCCCCCGCCAGUAACAACCCCGAGCAGAAACCCUGGUGGACCUCAGCGCAUUUUGGUUUUAAUCUGCCGUGGGUUUGUAGUGCUCUGAAGACGGCAUCGUCCUUCGCUGCCUGGGGAGGUGAGGAAGAGGAGGGGAGGUUAAACUCCUGUCCCUCACCCUCCGCUGCUCCCCUCGCCACUGCCUUGUCUCUCCAGAAGCUGUAUUCGAGUACAAUUCACUUUGUUAUUAAUUUCUUUUACACCGAGGCUUUUAAAGUGCCUGGGAACGGGGGCUCGUGUCACAGAGACACUUUACAGCCCGGCAGCUGUAAUGCUGAAGUGCUGUUUAAAUAGCCGGCUCAUCUAAGAGUAACAGGCGAAGGGCUGAGAGCUUGCCAGAGCAGCGAAGUGGUGUGUGCCCGUUUGAACAGGCUCUAUGGAAAUGAUUCUGGAGAGCAGGGCUUCUUCCCCAGCGGCUGCCCCGGCACCAUCGGGGAUGGGAUCACAUCGCCCUUGCACCCCCUUGGAGCUCUGCUGCCCUGGGUGCACCCCGGGGGUGGGCCAGCUCGCCGACACGGGCAGAUCGCAGCUGGGUGGCCAUGGCCCAUGGGUGUCCUGUCCCCAGGUGACCUGUCUUAAUGAGACUAGGUUCCUCAAUGGCCCUGCCCGCUGGAGGAGCAGUCUGCACCCCUGCGGUGGUCCGUCCUUGGCCGCGUGGGUCCCCCAUGCCUGCAUUCCUCAGGGGAGCCCCCCCCAGUGUGUUGGAGCUGCAAGGCCACGUCCCGAGCUGGAGAAAGGCCAGCGAAGGGGCCAGCAGGCUGGGCAGCCCUUGGGUGGGGAUGCUGAGGGUACCCCGAGGUGCCACCGUCACCCCCCAGCCUGUCCUGCCGUGCCCCGUGGUGGCUCUGGGGAAACGGGUGUGCUGGGACCCCUGACAUGGGUCUUAUUUGCCUCUGAUCUGGCAGC
Grus americana (Whooping crane) is the source of this 4939-nucleotide long non-coding RNA. RefSeq lists it as uncharacterized. The record is from RefSeq and is a predicted model, not a curated record. The transcript has 3 exons. NCBI's taxonomy places the organism in Eukaryota, Metazoa, Chordata, Aves, Gruiformes, Gruidae.